CCUACGGGAGGCAGCAGUGAGGAAUAUUGGUCAAUGGGCGAGAGCCUGAACCAGCCAAGUCGCGUGAGGGAGUACUGCCCUAUGGGUUGUAAACCUCUUUUGUCGGGGAGCAAAAGCCGGACGUGUCCGGCUGUGAGAGUACCCUAAGAAAAAGCAUCGGCUAACUCCGUGCCAGCAGCCGCGGUAAUACGGAGGAUGCGAGCGUUAUCCGGAUUUAUUGGGGUUAAAGGGUGCGCAGGCGGAUUUUUAAGUCAGCGGUCAAAUCGUGGGGCUCAACCCCACCCAGCAGUUGAAACUGGGGAUCUAGAGUGUGCGAGAGGUAUGCGGAAUGCGUGGUGUAGCGGUGAAAUGCAUAGAUAUCACGCAGAACCCCGAUUGCGAAGGCAGCAUACCGGUGCACAACUGACGCUCAGGCACGAAAGCGUGGGUAUCGAACAGGAUUAGAUACCCCAGUAGUC
This 458-nucleotide ribosomal RNA is filed under the name uncultured bacterium. RNAcentral describes it as "partial 16S ribosomal RNA". It matches the Rfam family "Bacterial small subunit ribosomal RNA", at positions 338 to 795 of the family's 1533-position model. The record is from RNAcentral.